AGUGAACGCUGGCGGUAGGCCUAACACAUGCAAGUCGAACGGCAGCACAGUAAGAGCUUGCUCUUACGGGUGGCGAGUGGCGGACGGGUGAGGAAUACAUCGGAAUCUACUUUUUCGUGGGGGACAACGUAGGGACACUUACGCUAAUACCGCAUACGUCCUACGGGUGAAAGCAGUGGAUCUUCGGACCUUGCGCGAUUGAAUGAGCCGAUGUCGGAUUAGCUAGUUGGCGGGGUAAAGGCCCACCAAGGCGACGAUCCGUAGCUGGUCUGAGAGGAUGAUCAGCCACACUGGAACUGAGACACGGUCCAGACUCCUACGGGAGGCAGCAGUGGGGAAUAUUGGACAAUGGGCGCAAGCCUGAUCGAGCCAUGCCGCGUGAGUGAAGAAGGCCUUCGGGUUGUAAAGCCCUUUUGUUAGGAAAGAAAAGCAGUGGGUUAAUACCCCGCUGUUCUGACGGUACCCAAAGAGUAAGCACCGGCUAACUUCGUG
Molecule: ribosomal RNA, 492 nt
Filed under: uncultured bacterium
Lineage: Bacteria
Description: partial 16S ribosomal RNA
Rfam family: Bacterial small subunit ribosomal RNA
Source: RNAcentral